CUCCUGCUCUGCUGUUCAUGCUCCAGCACCUUCCUACCCCCGUGCAUUUAACCCCACUCAGCCUUGGUGGCCUUGUCUGUGGGAGAGAUGAUACCACCAGCCCUGCAGGGCUUUUGUGAGGUGGAAAAUGCCCUUACAGCGCUGCAGGACUGGGGGUGCUCCCAGACCCCGAAUGGGAAGAGGUGGGAGACUGUGUGUUAGGGGUGGCUGGGACAACGGGAAGAUGGACAAUAGUUCCUGCUCCUGGAGCCCAGAAGCCUUAGUCUUCUCAUCCCUGCUCCUUCCAUCAGACUUCCUCUGAAGCCUCGGGGGCAGGGGCAGAGGACGAGCUUGAGAAGGAGGGUCAGUGCAGUUAAGCUGGAGCUCUUGACAUUUUAAGAGCAGAAAAGAAUUCUGGAAAAAACUGGGACAGGAGCCAGGCUCGGCGAUGGGUGGAGUGAAAUCCGAGGGCAUCUGCGCCAGGGAACCUGCGGACCCGGCCGACCUGUCAGGUGCUAAAUAUCCCCCAGUGACUUAAGUCCUCUCCACUUAAGACAGUUCACCUGCUCCUGGCCUCUGCGAUUUCUGUUUUCUUUCUGAAAUGGCCGUGUGGCCAGGAAAUCUAUGUGUGUCACUCCGCCUGCUCCUAGCUCUUCCAACUUCAUCGACCAAGAACUGUUCCCAUGGGGUGGAAGUUCCAAACUGGCUUCUUAAAGAGACUUCUAAUUUCUUCCAAACUAAAUGAUAAAUCAACGAAGAAAACACAGGCCACCUUGCAAACCUCUUUGGGCUGCAGGUGCACUUCUGAGAGGAGUAAGGAGGAGUUUCUCCCCAGGAAGGGCCUGCCAAAAGAAGAGCAGUGUUCUGGGGUGGUGGUUCUUAAACGCUAGCAUGAGAAGGCACGGACUGCUGCCCCCUCUCCCCGCCCCCCCAGAGUUUCUGAUUCAAGAGGGCCAGGGUGGGGCUGGAGAAUUUGCAUUUCCAGCAAGCUGCCAGAAGAUGCUGAUGCUUCUAGUCCAAGAACCACUGUUCAAGGCAAAAGGGACAGACAGCAAAGCCUUGAGACAGCAAAGAGCUUGGUGCAUUCAAGGACUAGAAAGGAGUCUGGCGUGGCUGCAGGAUGAAGAACACCGAGGCAUCAGACAAGUUAUGUAACUGUCCAGGGUUACAUAACCAGGAAAUAACAAACCGGAAUGUGAACCCAGGUAGCAUAAGGCAGGCGUUGGGCUCGCAGACUUCAUCCCACACUGCCUUUCUACUGCAUGUUGCUGUCCUUAUAAAUG
This 1262-nucleotide long non-coding RNA is filed under the name Equus caballus (horse). RNAcentral describes it as "lncRNA (ENSECAG00000040230.2)". The record is from RNAcentral. Lineage: Eukaryota; Metazoa; Chordata; Mammalia; Perissodactyla; Equidae.